Non-coding RNA from Styela clava, 2463 nucleotides. The record is from RefSeq and is a predicted model, not a curated record. NCBI's taxonomy places the organism in Eukaryota, Metazoa, Chordata, Ascidiacea, Stolidobranchia, Styelidae.
GGAACGGGGAUGGGAAUGGGUUCAACAGCAGCCAGAAUUGGAUCAAUCAUAAUGCCAUGGACUUUGGAAUUGCAACGUUCUGUACCUUGGCUUACGCAAACGAUAUUCGGAAGUCUUUCUGUCCUAGCUGGUGUUUUAUCUUUAUUGUUGCCUGAAACAAGAGAUGCCGAUUUAAAACAAGUAUGGAUGAGCGGAAGAAUUUUUAUAGAAGCAACAUGACGCUAGCUUCGAGAUUCAUCGGAAAACGUAUUUUGAGUCGGAUCUCUGCCGACGAAGAUACAAAGCUGAACAUUGAAACGGGAUCAAUGCUUGAAGAGAACAUGGACACGUAUGAAUCAGCCGAGACUAAAAACUGACACAACCAAUUUACCUGUGUAUAUCGCUUCAUCAUCGUAAAAUCUCAUUAGAUAAAUAAAUUAGAUAAAUAAUUACAGAGGAAAAUCAAUAUUUGUGAAUUUGACGCCGACAUUUUCAUGUAGACGCAUUAAGCGAGAAGUCAUCUGAAACAAGGAAUCCUCCUGAACCGGAAAAAUUCCUAAAGUUUUUGAUAGCUCAUUAAACAAACUUUCAAAAUUAAAAAAACGGGAAAUAAAUUUUGAUAGCGAAAUCUAUCUAAUAUGGGGAGAUGAUUUGAAACUAAUCAUAAACCAUGCAACCAAUAGAUAACCACGAAGUAAAAGGUUCAAGUAAUGAUAUAUUAAAUACACGAACAUACUUGCAAUGCUAUUUGUCGUUUUCCACCUUCAUUUCUAGUUUUCCGUGAAGUUGGUGUUGAAAUGGUCAAAAUUAGAAGGAGAAAUGAAUAUUGUAUCCUACUGCGUGUACCGUUUGUUAAUUUUAUGGUUAAUUUUUAUGAUUUACUGCGUGUACCGUUUGUUAAUUUUAUGGUUAAUUUUUAUGAUAUUUCAUAAAUGAAUUACAUUUAUUUAAAAAUUGAAAACAAACUGUCAGAUGAGUCAGUACGUGCAUCCAGCAGUAAAAUGGGAAAAUAUUGCAAAAAUUAUUAGCGCGGAAGUAUAAAAAAUAAACAAAUCGAAACCGAGGAACCUCGUGUGCAUCCCUAUUCCUUAAUAUUUUAAAAUACUAAAGGUUCAUUUCAAUCUGGUAUAUAUACUUGGUUUCAUUUUUAGAUAGAUGAUUAUAUUUCUAACGUUCAUUGAAUAAAUUUCGAUAAUGAGCACGACUCAAAUCACAUAAAUUUCUCUUACUGAGUAAAUUUGAAUCUCAUACAUGGCGGUUGUUAAUUUAUCCCGUCCAAAACAAUUUUCAGUCUAGUACUGAAUAAGACAAACCGAACCAAUCCCAUGGAAAACGUUUCGUAUCCUAUAGCAGAAAAACGAUAUGAGGUGUAUGACGUAAAAUGAUGUUGGAUUAACAUAUAGUCACAUAUGGAAUUAUAAUUUGAUUCUUAAUAUUGAUUAAAGAAAUAGCCCCUAAACAAUUAUUUCAUUUCUGAUCGCUCUUGUUUUUUGUUAAUCUUGAAUAGUUAAAAAUAGUUACCAUACAUUAGGAUUUAUGAAGUCUCGACCCUAUGUGAAUAGCUAGCGCCACAAAUUCUAAAAAAUAUAGGAUCGAAUACCAAAAAAUAAAUUCCGUGAUAACCCAUCUUUAAAUAAUACAUUUUUUUCCGAGCUCUAGUGAUCGCUUGCCAUUUGUUGAUCAAUCCUAUUUUAAUUUUGUGUGAAAUUUGUGACAAACGCUAACCAAAUUUAAAGAGUUUAUGAAUUGAGAAUGGUUUGGCUGAACUGCAUAUUUUGCGUUGGAGUUAAAUAUUCAAUAUAUAUAUAUAUCAAGUCAAUGGACAAUAUAUCAACAUUUCAGGAAUCAAGCAAACAACCAAACUGCAGUCUUUAGCGGCAUGCCAAUUUAAUAGACUUUCUAGAAAACCAAAAAGUAAUAAAAUUCUGACACAAAACGAGGUAUCUGGACCAGGACCUCCUACGACCUGACAGGACUAACUCAACUUCAACUCUUCAAGUUUAACGUCCGAGUUCACGGCUCGUGUAUUUUUAUUUUUUGAGCAUCAACCCCCAAAUUUUUCGUGUCUCAUUAUCAAGGUAUUCCUACAACUAAAUGUUGAUACGCAUUUGAGCAGAUACGCAAGAAGAUACGCAAUCCGCCUCAGAGAAAUUCAAAAUCAGCAGGACAACUUCAUAUUAUACCUGGAUUUUCAAAUUUGUUUACCGACUUCGACAAAGCACUCUAUACGCAGGAAUUAAAAUUGAUAUUAUACCAAAUCAAUUUUGCCGCGCAUGGAAUAUACGCAAGCCGUUUUCUUAUAUCAAGGGACCCUACUAAAAAGGUAGGUAUCAUAGAUAUCACAGGUAUCAUAGGUAUCACUCCAUAAAAAGAUAGGUAUCAGUAGUAAAUGACUAAAAAGGUAGGUAUCAGUAGUAGAUGACUAAAAAGGUAGGUAUCAGUAGUAAAUAACUAAAAAGGUAGGUAUCAGUAGUAGAUGACUAA